GCGGCGGGCGGCGGGCGGAAGGCAUCACUUUGUCCGGACUCUAAUUCAAAUUGUAUUCAUCCGAUCUUCACCAAACUUGGUCAGCAGUUGCAUCUAGUUGAUAUCUAGGCCAAGUUCGAAUAUGGGUCAUGCCGGGUCAAAAACUAGGUCAUAGGGUCAAUAAGUGCAUUUUCAAAGGGGCCACUUUGUCCGGACUCUAUUUCAAAUUGUAUUCAUCCGAUCUUCACCAAACUUGGUCAGCAGUUGCAUCUAGUUGAUAUCUAGGCCAAGUUCGAAUAUGGGUCAUGCCGGGUCAAAAACUAGGUCAUAGGGUCAAUUAGUGCAUUUUCAACGGCGCCACUUUGUCCGGACUCUAAUUCAAAUUGUAUUCAUCCGAUCUUCACCAAACUUGGUCAGCAGUUGCAUCUAGUUGAUAUCUAGGCCAAGUUCGAAUAUGGGUCAUGCCGGGUCAAAAACUAGGUCAUAGGGUCAAUUAGUGCAUUUUCAACGGCGCCACUUUGUCCGGACUCUAAUUCAAAUUGUAUUCAUCCGAUCUUCACCAAACUUGGUCAGUAGUUGCAUCUAGUUGAUAUCUAGGUCAAGUCCGAAUAUGGGUCAUGCUGGGUCAAAAACUAGGUCAAAGGGUCAAUUAGUGCAUUUUACUUUGUCCGGACUCUAAUUCAAAUUGUAUUCAUCCGAUCUUCACCAAACUUGGUCAGCAGUUGCAUCUAGUUGAUAUCUAGGCCAAGUUCGAAUAUGGGUUAUGCCGGGUCAAAAACUAGGUCACAGGGUCACUUAGUGCAUUUCAAGCAUUAAGCAUGGUGUCCGCUCUCUAAUUGAAUUAGUUUUUUUUCCAAUCUUCACCAAACUUGGUCAGAAGUUGUAUCUGGACAAUGUCUAGGUCAAGUUCGAAUAUGGGUCAUGCCGGGUCAAAAACUAGGUAACGGGGUCACUAAGUGCAUUUCAAGCAUUUAGCAUGGUGUCGGCUCUCUAAUUGAAGUAGUUUUCAUCCGAUCUUCACCACAUUUGGUCAGAAGUUGUGUCUAGACAAUAUCUAGGUCAAGUUCAAAUAUGGGUCAUGUCA
This is a long non-coding RNA of Dreissena polymorpha, 1063 nucleotides long. RefSeq lists it as uncharacterized. Lineage: Eukaryota; Metazoa; Mollusca; Bivalvia; Myida; Dreissenidae. The record is from RefSeq and is a predicted model, not a curated record. The transcript has 2 exons.